Plutella xylostella (diamondback moth) is the source of this 270-nucleotide non-coding RNA. The record is from RefSeq and is a predicted model, not a curated record. NCBI's taxonomy places the organism in Eukaryota, Metazoa, Arthropoda, Insecta, Lepidoptera, Plutellidae.
CAUGAUUACCAAAUUGUUAAUUUCAUAAUACUUACCAAUUCAUUCUUUACUAUUGGACUCAACCAAAUUAUCAAAAAAAUAUCCUAAUCUUCCAAGUUAGUUGUUUCGUAAUGAAAUAUGUAGGUACAGUUCGGACUUUCAGACCAAACAACUUGAUAGUUCCUGUCCUGAAGUUACUGCGAUUACACUUUAGUGCUUUGUCAAACUAUCCAACAGUCGAUCUUUGAAAGAAUGAACUGAAUAGGCGGUUAACGGUCUGCAAUAGGGAAU